Molecule: ribosomal RNA, 119 nt
Filed under: Oryza nivara
Lineage: Eukaryota; Viridiplantae; Streptophyta; Magnoliopsida; Poales; Poaceae
Also listed under: 5 other names
Source: RNAcentral
GGAUGCGAUCAUACCAGCACUAAAGCACCGGAUCCCAUCAGAACUCCGAAGUUAAGCGUGCUUGGGCGAGAGUAGUACUAGGAUGGGUGACCUCCUGGGAAGUCCUCGUGUUGCAUUCU